This 253-nucleotide ribosomal RNA is filed under the name uncultured bacterium. RNAcentral describes it as "partial 16S ribosomal RNA". It matches the Rfam family "Bacterial small subunit ribosomal RNA", at positions 524 to 776 of the family's 1533-position model. The record is from RNAcentral.
UACGUAGGGUGCAAGCGUUGUCCGGAAUUAUUGGGCGUAAAGAGCUCGUAGGCGGUUUGUCGCGUCGGCUGUGAAAACCCGAGGCUCAACCUCGGGCCUGCAGUCGAUACGGGCAAACUAGAGUGCGGUAGGGGAGACUGGAAUUCCUGGUGUAGCGGUGAAAUGCGCAGAUAUCGGGAGGAACACCAGUAGCGAAGGCGGCACUCUGGGCCGGUACUGACGCUGAGGAGCGAAAGCGUGGGGAGCGAACAGG